RNAcentral lists this long non-coding RNA (869 nucleotides) under Homo sapiens (human). RNAcentral's name for it is "non-protein coding lnc-OR52E2-1:1". The record is from RNAcentral. Lineage: Eukaryota; Metazoa; Chordata; Mammalia; Primates; Hominidae.
UUCAAGAAUUUACUACCUGCUAUAAAAACAUAGAUUUAGGAAGAAUGGCCCAAGAGUGGAAAGAAAGAGAUAAAAGGCUAACGAAGUAUCGCAAAUAUAUAUGUAUGAGUAUGUUUAUAUAUGUACAUAUAGUAUAUUUGAACCUUUUAUUUUAAGUUCAGGGUACAUGUGCAGGUUUGUCAUUCAUUUCUUACUGUAAGAAGUUCCACUUGUGUCUAACUAAAUUGUCAAAAAUAUAUAACAAAUAAGUAUAUGUACUUCAAAAUAUAUAUACACACAUACAUAUAUACACACAUAUAUAUAUAUACACACACACAAACACAAACACCUAUACAUAUUUAUGCAUGUGUGUAUGGGUGUGUGUGUAUAUAUAUAGCUUGCUAUUUAAACAUGUAUAUAUAUAUAUAUAAACUAGUAUAUAUACACUAGUGUGUAUAUAUAAACUAGUAUAUAUACAUAUGUAUACACACACACAAUCUUAAACAAACUAUAUAAAUAUAUAUACUUUGUUUCAAAGAAUGGAAUGAUCCAGGGUCACAUGCUGCUGGGAGUUGUAGUAGGAUGAGACGGGGAUAUUUGUUUGGGUUUGGUGUCCAGAGAUCAAUAAUUAACUUAACUAGAACUGUUUUAGUUUCAGCCAAGUGUUGGAUAGGAUGCUAAAAUAAAGAGAGUAUGGGUGAGGUGAGGACAGAUUAUACACACUGUUUGGCUCUUACAGCCCCUUUUCACAUAUUUUUUGAUAAUUUCAAUUGAUUCAUCUCCCUUGAGGGGUGAUACAGUUUAUCUGUUUUCAGUCUUUGUUACCAGAAAUAUAUAGAUAUUCCUAGUUUUAGUUCUAAGCUUAUUUUUAACUUUUAUUUUAGGUUCAG